AUACGGAGGAUGCGAGCGUUAUCCGGAUUUAUUGGGUUUAAAGGGUGCGUAGGCGGACGAUUAAGUCAGCUGUGAAAUGCCCGCGCUUAACGCGGGAAGUGCAGUUGAUACUGGUUGUCUGGAGUGCCGUUGCCGUGGGGGGAAUGUGUAGUGUAGCGGUGAAAUGCAUAGAUAUUACACAGAACGCCGAUUGUGAAGACACCUCACGAAGCGGUAACUGACGCUGAGGCACGAAAGCGUGGGGAUCGAACAGGAUUAGAUACCCUGGUAGUCCACGCAGUAAACGAUGAUUACUAGCUGUUUGCGAUAUACAGUAAGUGGCACAGCGAAAGCGUUAAGUAAUCCACCUGGGGAGUACGCCGGCAACGGUGAAACUCAAAUGAAUUGACGGGG
This 393-nucleotide ribosomal RNA is filed under the name uncultured bacterium. RNAcentral's name for it is "partial 16S ribosomal RNA". It matches the Rfam family "Bacterial small subunit ribosomal RNA", at positions 523 to 918 of the family's 1533-position model. The record is from RNAcentral.